RNAcentral lists this ribosomal RNA (468 nucleotides) under uncultured bacterium. Its description in RNAcentral is "partial 16S ribosomal RNA". It matches the Rfam family "Bacterial small subunit ribosomal RNA", at positions 28 to 507 of the family's 1533-position model. The record is from RNAcentral.
GACGAACGCUGGCGGCGUGCUUAACACAUGCAAGUCGAACGGAAAGGCCCUGCUUUUGUGGGGUGCUCGAGUGGCGAACGGGUGAGUAACACGUGAGUAACCUGCCCUUGACUUUGGGAUAACUUCAGGAAACUGGGGCUAAUACCGGAUAGGAGCUCCUGCUGCAUGGUGGGGGUUGGAAAGUUUCGGCGGUUGGGGAUGGACUCGCGGCUUAUCAGCUUGUUGGUGGGGUAGUGGCUUACCAAGGCUUUGACGGGUAGCCGGCCUGAGAGGGUGACCGGCCACAUGGGGACUGAGAUACGGCCCAGACUCCUACGGGGGGCAGCAGUGGGGAAUAUUGCACAAUGGGAGGAAGCCUGAUGCAGCAACGCCGCGUGCGGGAUGACGGCCUUCGGGUUGUAAACCGCUUUCGCCUGUGACGAAGCGUGAGUGACGGUAAUGGGUAAAGAAGCAGCGGCUAACUACGUG